AGUGAACGCUGGCGGCAGGCCUAACACAUGCAAGUCGAACGGCAGCACAGUAAGAGCUUGCUCUUACGGGUGGCGAGUGGCGGACGGGUGAGGAAUACAUCGGAAUCUACUUUUUCGUGGGGGAUAACGUAGGGAAACGUACGCUAAUACCGCAUACGACCUACGGGUGAAAGCAGGGGAUCUUCUGACCUUGCGCGAUUGAAUGAGCCUAUGUCGGAGUAGCUAGUUGGCGGGGUAAAGGCCCACCAAGGCGACGAUCCGUAGCUGGUCUGAGAGGAUGAUCCGCCACACUGGCACUGAGACACGGUCCCCACUCCUACGGGAGGCCGCAGUGGGGAAUAUUGGACAAUGCGCGCAAGCCUGAUCCAGCCCUACCGCGUGGGUGAAGAAGGCCUUCGGGUUGUAAAGCCCUUUUGUUGGGAAAGAAAAGAAGCAGGUUAAUACCCCGCUGUUCUGACGGUACCCAAAGAAUAAGCACCGGCUAACUUCGUG
Molecule: ribosomal RNA, 492 nt
Filed under: uncultured bacterium
Lineage: Bacteria
Description: partial 16S ribosomal RNA
Rfam family: Bacterial small subunit ribosomal RNA
Source: RNAcentral